Molecule: ribosomal RNA, 253 nt
Filed under: uncultured bacterium
Lineage: Bacteria
Description: partial 16S ribosomal RNA
Rfam family: Bacterial small subunit ribosomal RNA
Source: RNAcentral
UACGAAGGGGGCGAGCGUUGUUCGGAAUCACUGGGCGUAAAGGGCGCGUAGGCGGCCCUCCUAGUCGCGUGUGAAAGCCCCGGGCUCAACCUGGGAACUGCAUUGGAAACUAACGGGCUCGAGUGUGGCAGAGGGGGGUGGAAUUCCACGUGUAGCAGUGAAAUUCGUAGAUAUUCGCAAGAACACCAGUGGCGAAGGCGGCUCACUGGCCCGGUACUGACGCUGAGGUGCGAAAGCGUGGGGAGCAAACAGG